This 576-nucleotide unclassified non-coding RNA is filed under the name Rhizobium sp. RNAcentral describes it as "partial contains 16S-23S ribosomal RNA intergenic spacer and 23S ribosomal RNA". Lineage: Bacteria; Pseudomonadati; Pseudomonadota; Alphaproteobacteria; Hyphomicrobiales; Rhizobiaceae. The record is from RNAcentral.
UUCGCUUGGUGUCGAGASUGAGAGAUMUCCUUUGAAGAAAAUAAAAGUWUGCAUCGGYUUUUGAGCCYGAKGCCUGUUMUGCAUACAYUGUGAAGAGAAGAKUGAUCUGGAGGSUUCCASGUGUUUUGGACUUAUGUCYGGAACGUCCGAGCCCAGUUCCUGUGAACCCAYGGAUGGCCUAGCCGSCCGGAUGUGGUGGAGGGAUUGGAGGGUGGAAGGAAGCUUGUCGCUCUGGAUCGUUUGUUGUUYGUKGCCUUCGGGSUUYGUCUGAUAAGCGAUCGGAUUACCGUUGCCYGACCGCGCGGUAUCGGAUCCAAUCUCGAGAAGMUGGUCUUAAGACAGGCUGCAAGUGGGSUGCUCGGSGUAGCUCCAAUAAAGCAGACCUGUCGAACACGUCGAUGGCAYUGUUGGAUUGACUGGGUUGUAAAAGGUAACCCGGUCUGUUGCCGUUUCCUUCGGGGACGGUAGCGAGAUGAUGAGCAUUGGCAAUGAGAACGAUUAAGUGUCGUAAGGGCAUUUGGUGGAUGCCUUGGCAUGCACAGGCGAUGAAGGACGUGAUACGCUGCGAAAAGCCGU